Molecule: ribosomal RNA, 257 nt
Filed under: uncultured prokaryote
Description: partial 16S ribosomal RNA
Rfam family: Bacterial small subunit ribosomal RNA
Source: RNAcentral
UAACGCGUAGGGGGCAAGCGUUGUCCGGAUUUAUUGGGCGUAAAGAGCUCGUAGGUGGUUCGGUAAGUCAGGUGUGAAACCUCCAGGCUCAACCUGGAGACGCCACUUGAUACUGCUGUGACUGGAGUCCGGUAGGGGAGCGUGGAAUUCCUGGUGUAGCGGUGAAAUGCGCAGAUAUCAGGAGGAACACCAGCGGCGAAGGCGGCGCUCUGGGCCGGUACUGACACAGAGGAGCGAAAGCGUGGGUAGCAAACAGG